RNAcentral lists this long non-coding RNA (1907 nucleotides) under Cricetulus griseus (Chinese hamster). RNAcentral describes it as "lncRNA (ENSCGRG00015031959.1)". Lineage: Eukaryota; Metazoa; Chordata; Mammalia; Rodentia; Cricetidae. The record is from RNAcentral.
CAGGAAGGGUCCCCUUUUCCCCGCUUGCCUCCUCCAGCAGCAGGAUGUGAGCCACUGAGUUACUGAAUACACAGACGGCCUCUGUGCAUCAGGUGCCAGACAUUUACAUGAAGUAUAGGAGAGUGAAUUAUCCCAAGAAUAUCCAUGCCAUUUAUCAUCAUCAUCAUCAUCAUCAUCAUCAUCAUCAUCAUCAUCAUCAAGUUACCUUUGCAGUAGAGAUUUUACUUAAUGUCCUGACUUACCUAGACCUCUAUUUCUAGAUAUGCCAGGCCUCACACUCAGAGAUAUAUCUGGCACUUCCUGUUACCUGUGAUGGGAAAAAAAAACAUGCAGCCACUUUGACUGCUCACUUUUUAUUCUUUACCUGAGAAAGUUUUCAUGGCCAUUAACAAUGGGCAGCCUGAGGCUAGUGUGCUUCAUCAUAAUACAGAGACACUAAAGUAUUUGUCUUCAUUCGAAGUACUAGGGGGUCUGGGUUGCCUCAGCAAUUAAACAGCCGGGUCAGUUAUUGGCAAACUCCCUUCACCAGCAAAGAACACACAUUGCAAUUACACCUCUCCAAUUGCAGCAGAAAAUACUGAUGGCAAGCAUUCCUCUGGAACUUUGAUCACCUCCUGAAGUAAAGAACCAUUCCAGUUCUUUGUGUGCCCUGCCAGAUGUGUGCAUGGGUCUUUCGAAGAAAAACCUCUCAUAAACUUCAGUGCUGAACCCUUUCCUACAGAAAGUUCACAUUGUAGGUAGGAUUCCUCUGGUGAACUGCCCUCUACAGCAGAGAACACUGAUCAGGAGGGAAUCUCUGGAACAUUCAUCCCUUUCUGAAACCAACUGUGACUCCAGUUCUUCGUUUGGCCUACUGUAAGUAUCCACACUUCUUGGGAAGAAAAGACUUAUACAAACACAAUCACUUACCCUAUUCCUGUCACAAGUCAUCAUGGGAAACCUCCUUCAACCCUCUUUGCGUGAGGUAAAUAAAUUAAGACAGUUUUCUCUACUCAAAUGUCUUAGAAACUACCUACCUAUACCAGGGGAGAGAGGCCUACAGAACACACAUUGUGGUCUCUCAGACCAUGGACGACUAUGAGCAACCAAGACCAAGACCAGGAGGUUAACAUCCCAUCCAAAAGCCUGGAGUAUUUGACAACCAAUAAAGACCAGAUGAAUUUGCCACCUGAACAACAGAUGACACUGUUUCUACCCAGAUUGAGUUUCAGAGACACAUAUAUGGACCAGGGUGAGAUUCCCUAACUCUGGACACAUAGACAGUCAGUAUUUUCAAGCAGGCCCUGAAGUAUCUACAGAAAUUAUGGGCACUGCAAGCUCCACAAAGGAGCAAAGACAGGGCAAGGAAGGAAAUGGGCCAUUCCUUUUCAGAUGAUAGAUAUGAUGAGAAACACAGUGAACAGUGAUCCUAUUCUAUCUGCUUUACAUCCAUUCAUCAGAAAAAGACCUAGGUCAUCUUUUGGCCCAGACCAGAGAAUGAUAAAAGACACUUGGAUAUGUCUCUCCUCUUGGAAGAGAAUGUGGAUUGCUGCCUAUUCUGUAAUGGAGUUGCUGAGAGGUCUUCUGGACCUGGUCCAAAGAAUGCCAUUGCAAAGACCACUGAAACUUAUGCAGUACCAACUGGACAAUCUUCCUCUGUUCAAUGUGGACUGGUACAUUCUCCCAUCUAAUCAAAAUUCUCUGAAACAUGCCCCAUCUACUGAACAGAUUUAAAACUUCAAAAUCUGUUUCUGGUUCUAGUUACACCUCUACACCUGUCCGUGGGAGGCAGAGAACUUACAAAUAUCUGGAAGAUGAACCCAUACGUGUCAGCUCUCCAGAACAGGGCCAUAUUUCAUAGGCAAUCUAUUAGCAUGUGUCUUUUUAUUAGUAUAUUAUGUCCACUGAUAUUAAAAGAUAAUAACCUG